GGCAGAUGGGUGGCAGUGGCUCAGUGCUCUGGGGGAGCUUCCGGCUGUCCUUUUUGGGAGAGGGGCUGGGGCCCGCUUCGCCCAGGCCAGCCAGAGGCGGGAGGGCAGGGCUAACAGGAGGAGUCCCCUGGGCCCAGCAAGCGCACCAGACGUCAAGCCCUGAGGCACAGCGCAGACACACCCAGUCCCGCCGGGGCUCCCCUAGCUAAAGAGGUGGCAGCCGUACACCCUUCCGGGGGGCGGGGCCUGGCUUCUCGAGGGGACGGCUGGAACGCGCUUCAGCUGUCCCGGGCUCAGUGACCUUGGGCCAAACUCCCCUUCCCUCGGCCUCGGCGUUCUAGGCUAAAGGGGGCUGCGGCCGGGUGGGGGAACGGCGCACUGCCCGUGAGGAGUGCGCGCGCCAGUGGCUGCACAGCGCCCGGCACAGCGCCCGGCACAGCGCCCGGGCCCAGUGACCAAGGGCCCCAGCAGCCCUGCCGCGGUGGGCCAGAGAAAGACCUCAGGCCAGGAUCCUGGAGGACGGACGGAGGGGCGCACCUCGGCCCGCAACCAGGGGCUCGGCUCACCUGGGUCCCCCAGACGCCGGGCAGGAGCGAGGAGCAGAAGAGCCUCGAAGCAGCCGCGGAGAGGAAGAACAAGCUGGACGUCGCACCUACUGUGCCGAGUGGUCGGUCCUCCUUGCUCGGGCCAGGCACCUCUGCUGGCUAGACGACCGCGAGCCAAGGGCUCCCCCUCUGUAAAAUGGGGUUGACCAUAUACUUUCCUCCCAUGGCGAGGGGGGGCUUCCACGAAGGGCUGCACCUGUUCACCCUGGGGACCACCCUGGGGACUCGGGGACCCUGAGAGAGACCCUCCUACAGCUCACUAGCAGCCUGCCAAGCCCAGCAGGUGGAGGGUUCCCAGGCAGAGGCCUCUGCUAGGCAGGGUGAGGGAGGGGAGGGGAGAGGGCAAAAGGAAGGUGCCCUAGGAAAGCUGAGAGUGGAACGAGAUGGAAUGGCAGACCAAGGGAGAAGUGGACAACCGUGCUCAGAGACCUUGGGGUUUGCUCAAGGUCACAGCACAGCUUGAAGUUGGAAACCCAGGUCCGCCUGGCCCCUGGGCACAGGCUGUGGAGCU
Molecule: non-coding RNA, 1116 nt
Organism: Microcebus murinus (gray mouse lemur)
Lineage: Eukaryota; Metazoa; Chordata; Mammalia; Primates; Cheirogaleidae
Source: RefSeq, a predicted model, not a curated record